This is a long non-coding RNA of Amphimedon queenslandica, 527 nucleotides long. RefSeq lists it as uncharacterized. The transcript has 2 exons. The record is from RefSeq and is a predicted model, not a curated record. Lineage: Eukaryota; Metazoa; Porifera; Demospongiae; Haplosclerida; Niphatidae.
UCAGUGUGUGAGUAGAGUAUACAACAAAAGGCAUAUUGAUUGUUCCAUUCACUAUCCAUUCACUAUGCAUGUACAUGUAAUAAGAAAAUAAUAUACUAUUGAUAAAGUAGAUUGAUGGUGAGCACAUUUGCAUAAUUACUCUUAAAAAUAUUUAAGGCACUUGUCAUUUAAUUAAAGUAACUAAUAUUGAAAGAGUUAAGACCUGUUGACUCAUUAGCUGCACAUGUGUCACACUGUUGUUGAUGCGUGUAAAUUUCAGCUAUUAGAAAGUCGUUAAUUCUGCACUAGGUUAUUAGAAAUUAUCAAUAUUUGUUUACAUACUAAGACAAUUAAUUUCAAGGAUAUACAGUACGUAUUUAAUGGCUUUUAAUGAUUAACUUUAUUUUUAGAUUCUUCAAAAAAGAAAGUCAAAUAAAACAGAAUUUGAUUCCAAGUGCCCCAAGACCUUAGAUUAACUUUUUAAAACAUUUAAUUGUGUCAUAAUAAUUAUUAAAUGAUUUGAAAAUAAAAAUUCCUUGAUAACGUUA